This 162-nucleotide ribosomal RNA is filed under the name Triticum aestivum (bread wheat). RNAcentral's name for it is "partial small subunit ribosomal RNA". The record is from RNAcentral. Lineage: Eukaryota; Viridiplantae; Streptophyta; Magnoliopsida; Poales; Poaceae.
CUUUCAAGCCGAAACAUGGUUAGAGCUCUAAUAUGUCUUGAACUUAUACCGAAUUCAAUUAAUCUAAAUCUCGUAACAUUUUCUGAUCUAUUUGAUAAUCGCCAAUUAAAAGGAGAUAUUUUCGCAAUUUUUGUUAUAGCCCUUGCGGCCUGGAUUUUUUGA